AGAGUUUGAUCCUGGCUCAGGAUGAACGCUAGCUACAGGCUUAACACAUGCAAGUCGAGGGGCAUCAGUUUGGUUUGCUUGCAAACCAAAGCUGGCGACCGGCGCACGGGUGAGUAACACGUAUCCAACCUGCCUCAUACUCGGGGAUAGCCUUUCGAAAGAAAGAUUAAUAUCCGAUAGCAUAUAUUUCCCGCAUGGGUUUUAUAUUAAAGAAAUUCGGUAUGAGAUGGGGAUGCGUUCCAUUAGUUUGUUGGGGGGGUAACGGCCCACCAAGACUACGAUGGAUAGGGGUUCUGAGAGGAAGGUCCCCCACAUUGGAACUGAGACACGGUCCAAACUCCUACGGGAGGCAGCAGUGAGGAAUAUUGGUCAAUGGACGCGAGUCUGAACCAGCCAAGUAGCGUGAAGGAUGACUGCCCUAUGGGUUGUAAACUUCUUUUAUAUGGGAAUAAAGUGGUCCACGUGUGGACUUUUGUAUGUACCAUAUGAAUAAGGAUCGGCUAACUCCGUGCCAGCAGCCGCGGUAAUACNGAGGAUCCGAGCGUUAUCCGGAUUUAUUGGGUUUAAAGGGAGCGUAGGCGGAUUGUUAAGUCAGUUGUGAAAGUUUGCGGCUCAACCGUAAAAUUGCAGUUGAUACUGGCAGUCUUGAGUGCAGUAUAGGUGGGCGGAAUUCUUGGUGUAGCGGUGAAUGCUUAGAUUUCACGAAGAACUCCGAUUGCGAAGGCA
RNAcentral lists this ribosomal RNA (726 nucleotides) under uncultured Bacteroides sp. Its description in RNAcentral is "bacterial SSU rRNA". It matches the Rfam family "Bacterial small subunit ribosomal RNA", at positions 8 to 723 of the family's 1533-position model. The record is from RNAcentral. Lineage: Bacteria; Pseudomonadati; Bacteroidota; Bacteroidia; Bacteroidales; Bacteroidaceae.